CAUCACUUAAUGACAGGGAUACAUUCUGAAAAAUGUGUCAUCACGCAAUUUCAUCAUUGUGCGAACCUCAUGGAGUGUACCUACACAAAUCUAGAUGGUGUAGCCUACUACACACCUGGGCUAUGUGGUAUCUCCUAUUGCUCCUAGGCUACAAACCUGUACAGCAUGUUAUUGUACUGAAUAUUGUAGUCAGUUGUAACG
This 201-nucleotide long non-coding RNA is filed under the name Homo sapiens (human). RNAcentral describes it as "non-protein coding lnc-SETD5-3:1". The record is from RNAcentral. Lineage: Eukaryota; Metazoa; Chordata; Mammalia; Primates; Hominidae.